GAAUUAUGGCGCACUCGAGCAACCAUGUCGACCAAUGUGAUUUAUGUAUGAUGUAGCUUGACGAAUCGGAAGCAAAAAAUGUUCAACUCAAAUCAACAAGGCUCAUAGAAAUGAUGUAUAUGCCUAAAAUCCUUGUCGGUUGGUUUGGGAUCACAUCAUUCUUGGGGUCAAACAUUUGAUUAUCUAUGGAGGAUGAUAUGAACUCAUACCGUGCCCCUUGGGAACUACCAGGGGAGCUGUUGGUGGUCUGGAAUCAAGGUGCUUCCACCUCUAUACUGGGGAUCCUAUCUUUGAUUAUCUAUCAUAAAUAUCAAAAAGGGUGUUUUUGUAGUUUCAUCUUUUUGUGAUUACAACCUUUAGCUCAGUUCAGUUGAACAAUAGAUGAAAAUAAUGUAAUGUUGCUGCUCUAUGUUGAGCUUCCUUAUCUGACUCUGACUUAUGAAAAUACUGUUAGUGUUCUUUUUAAA
Long non-coding RNA from Arachis duranensis, 467 nucleotides. RefSeq lists it as uncharacterized. Lineage: Eukaryota; Viridiplantae; Streptophyta; Magnoliopsida; Fabales; Fabaceae. The transcript is spliced from 2 exons. The record is from RefSeq and is a predicted model, not a curated record.